UUUACCUACGGGACGCAGCAGUAGGGAAUUUUCGUCAAUGGGCGGGAGCCUGAACCAGCCAAGCCGCGUGAGGGAAGAGGUACAGCGUAUCGUAAACCUCUUUUGUCAGGGAACAAAGGCGGGGACGUGUCCCCGGAUGAGUGUACCUGAAGAAAAAGCAUCGGCUAACUCCGUGCCAGCAGCCGCGGUAAUACGGAGGAUGCGAGCGUUAUCCGGAUUUAUUGGGUUUAAAGGGUGCGCAGGCGGUCUGGUAAGUCAGCGGUCAAAGCCCGGGGCUCAACCCCGGCCCGCCGGUGAAACUGGCA
This 305-nucleotide ribosomal RNA is filed under the name uncultured bacterium. RNAcentral describes it as "bacterial SSU rRNA". It matches the Rfam family "Bacterial small subunit ribosomal RNA", at positions 334 to 638 of the family's 1533-position model. The record is from RNAcentral.